Molecule: ribosomal RNA, 253 nt
Filed under: uncultured bacterium
Lineage: Bacteria
Description: partial 16S ribosomal RNA
Rfam family: Bacterial small subunit ribosomal RNA
Source: RNAcentral
CACGUAGGGACCAAGCGUUGUCCGGGUUUAUUGGGCGUAAAGAGCUCGUAGGCGGUCGUGUAAGUCGGGUGUGAAAUCUCCGGGCUCAACUCGGAGGGGCCACCCGAUACUGCUCGACUCGAGUCCGGUAGGGGAGUGGGGAAUUCCUGGUGUAGCGGUGAAAUGCGCAGAUAUCAGGAGGAACACCGGUGGCGAAGGCGCCACUCUGGGCCGGUACUGACGCUGAGGAGCGAAAGCGUGGGUAGCAAACAGG